UACAGAGGGUGCAAGGGUUAAUCGGAAUUACUGGGCGUAAAGCGCGCGUAGGCCGUCGAGUAAGUCGGAUGUGAAAUCCCCGGGCUUAACCUGGGAAUUGCAUUCGAUACUGCUUGGCUAGAGUGUGGAAGAGGGAAGCGGAAUUUCCGGUGUAGCGGUGAAAUGCGUAGAUAUCGGAAGGAACACCAGUGGCGAAGGCGGCUUCCUGUUCCAACACUGACGCUGAGGCGCGAAAGCGUGGGGAGCGAACAGG
This 253-nucleotide ribosomal RNA is filed under the name uncultured bacterium. Its description in RNAcentral is "partial 16S ribosomal RNA". It matches the Rfam family "Bacterial small subunit ribosomal RNA", at positions 524 to 776 of the family's 1533-position model. The record is from RNAcentral.